This is a long non-coding RNA of Sinocyclocheilus grahami, 1030 nucleotides long. RefSeq lists it as uncharacterized. The transcript is spliced from 2 exons. Lineage: Eukaryota; Metazoa; Chordata; Actinopteri; Cypriniformes; Cyprinidae. The record is from RefSeq and is a predicted model, not a curated record.
CACAGAUGGGCCAGUGGCCAUGGUUGGCUCUGCUGCAAUGGGAGGUAUACUGCUUGCAUUAAUAGAAGGUGCGGGAAUUCUGCUCACGAGGUUCGCCUCAGCACAAUUCCCAACUGGCCCACAGUUUGCAGAAGAACCCGCUCCCAUGCCUGCUUCAUCAUUUGGAGACUAUAGACAGUUCCAAUGAGAAGCCCUUUAAAACUCAAGGCCUUUUCUUAUUCCAUGAACUCAUCUAAGACACUGAAGUUACAGUGUGGAUCUCAUUCAUUAACAGAGCAUGCCACCAACCAGGAAUGACUGUGACAAAGGGAAUAUGAAGGGCAAACACUAUCGUUCCUGUCCUCGUGUUUGUCUUUAGUAUGCCUUUUGCUAUUCUCAGCUUUGUCAUUGGCCUAUGGGUCACCCUAUUUAAGUCAAAACUCAGUUCUAUGUUUUCAUCCACAUAUUCCGUUUUUGUUUUCUGUGAACUAAUUUUUUUGCUAACACAGCUGGAAAUGUUUGCUGAAGCAAUAGGUGUACUAUUUAAGUCAUGCUAGGUUAUUCGAGUUGAGCCCCAAUCAAUUGGCUAUAUAAAGUGUUUGUUGCAUGUGUGUGUGAAUGUGUUAAUACCUGUGUGUGUGUGUGCGCGCAGCCGCUGGCAUAAGAGUUUAGUACAUGCCUGACUGCCUGUGCACUGAUUGUUUGCCUUAAUGUAAACUUUCUCAUGGGCCUCAACAAGGUCGAAUUUACCAGUACUUAUUGGAGAUUUUUAUUGACUGUUCCAUGGCAAACCUCCUCUUGCAGAAUAUAUUCCUUCACAGUUUACUUUUUGAAGUAGCUAUUUAUUUUAUAGAAGUAAAACUUCCUUGUUUCAAGAUGUUAUGCUGUAUUGUACUUUAAAUAUUUCUCUACAGUGAAUGUUAGGAUCACAAAGGAUGCAUCAGGAAAAAAAGGUUUAUGAAUGGACAGAAUUAAUAGUCUCUUCUGGUGGAUAUAUGAGCCAAAUUAGGCUGAGAAACAUCAUAAAUAAACUAUAGUUAUUACUACUAUG